This 664-nucleotide ribosomal RNA is filed under the name uncultured bacterium. RNAcentral's name for it is "bacterial SSU rRNA". It matches the Rfam family "Bacterial small subunit ribosomal RNA", at positions 66 to 715 of the family's 1533-position model. The record is from RNAcentral.
GCUUGCACUCUGUGAAACAAGAUACAGGCUAGCGGCGGACGGGUGAGUAACACGUGGGUAACCUGCCCAAGAGAUCGGGAUAACACCUGGAAACAGAUGCUAACACCGGAUAACAACAGAUGAUGCCUAUCAACUGUUUAAAAGAUGGUUCUGCUAUCACUCUUGGAUGGACCUGCGGUGCAUUAGCUAGUUGGUAGGGUAACGGCCUACCAAGGCGAUGAUGCAUAGCCGAGUUGAGAGACUGAUCGGCCACAUUGGGACUGAGACACGGCCCAAACUCCUACGGGAGGCAGCAGUAGGGAAUCUUCCACAAUGGACGCAAGUCUGAUGGAGCAACGCCGCGUGAGUGAAGAAGGGUUUCGGCUCGUAAAGCUCUGUUGUUGGUGAAGAAGGACAGGGGUAGCAACUGACCUUUGUUUGACGGUAAUCAAUUAGAAAGUCACGGCUAACUACGUGCCAGCAGCCGCGGUAAUACGUAGGUGGCAAGCGUUGUCCGGAUUUAUUGGGCGUAAAGCGAGUGCAGGCGGCUCGAUAAGUCUGAUGUGAAAGCCUUCGGCUCAACCGGAGAAUUGCAUCAGAAACUGUCGAGCUUGAAUACAGAAGAGGAGAGUGGAACUCCAUGUGUAGCGGUGAAAUGCGUAGAUAUAUGGAAGAACACCGGUGG